This is a long non-coding RNA of Ruditapes philippinarum (Manila clam), 1107 nucleotides long. RefSeq lists it as uncharacterized. The transcript has 2 exons. NCBI's taxonomy places the organism in Eukaryota, Metazoa, Mollusca, Bivalvia, Venerida, Veneridae. The record is from RefSeq and is a predicted model, not a curated record.
ACUACUGUCCCUCAUUGUAUAAGUAGACUUGUUUAGGCAAGCAUUUUUAGGUUAAUUAGGCUACAGUAAUGCUAGUUUUGUGGAAAUAAAUGCCAGAUGCACCAAAUCUUUCUUUUUCCGUGUAUCCUAUUUUCCUAUCAUCUCAUUUUGAAUGCUAUAAGUAUCUAAGUCGCACAUGUAUGUUUGUAAUUCUCCCGUUCUGUCUAUAUUUCCUUCACUGAUGCCUGCAGUAUCCGUUAUGACUCUUGUAGCAGGAGAGAAACGCCCUGGACCAGGUAUAGAAAUAUAUGAAUGGACGUCAGAUCACCCGGGUUAUGCAGAACAUCUGGUGGCGACGAUAUCAGAAUGGUUGGUCGCAUUUAUCACCGUGAUAUAUUUUGCCACGUUUUACAAAGAGUUCAAACAUUUCCGAAUGAAGGCACCGGAAGUCGUUUACUAUGAACCACAACAACAAGAGCAAUGAGCAAAUAUAUCUGUAAUAAGUUGACAAAAACAGACAAACUUUUAAGCAGCAAAAAAAGGAUCUUACAAUACGUAUUUCAAGCUGAAUGUUCUGUGAGCAGCAUAAUGUUUAAGUUCGUCCUUCAAUACAUAUUAUCAUUACAUGAUAAAAAGAUGUGUUUGACUUGUGUACACGAGCAUUGUAAAUGACUAUAAAUAUAACAGUUUCUAUCUUUUUUUCAUUUCUUUUCUGGUGACAUUUAAGUGUCACUUACUGGUAACACACAUGCAAAAACAGUAAUGAAUGCACUAACAAAUUGGUAUUCUGGUUAGAUUGAAAUUGUUUUGAUUACUUGUAACAAAAAUACUUUAUUAAUGCUCUACAUAUACAAGUAGUGCAGAUAAAAUCAAAUUUAACACAAUAUAUGUUAUACUUGCUUAUAUCAAUACUCAAACAUUGUUUUGAAAUGUCGCGAAUUAAAGUACAUUUUUGGUAAGAUAUGUGGGAUCGAUACUGUAUCAAGUUAUAUUAUAAACUUAACCAAAACAUGACCUACUAAACGGGACAAAGGAAAGAACUUUUUACACAUAUUAUACAAAAAAAAUGUACAUAUAUUAUGAAAUAUUAAAUCAGUAUUAUUUGAUGUAUAAAUCUUGCUAGAUGUC